AGUGCACCCGCUCAAACAUGUCGGCCUAACACAUCCAGGUAUUACGGUAGAGAGAAGCUUGCUUCUCUUGAGAGCGGCGGACGGGUGAGUAAUGCCUAGGAAUCUGCCUGGUAGUGGGGGAUAACGUUCGGAAACGGACGCUAAUACCGCAUACGUCCUACGGGAGAAAGCAGGGGACCUUCGGGCCUUGCGCUAUCAGAUGAGCCUAGGUCGGAUUAGCUAGUUGGUGAGGUAAUGGCUCACCAAGGCUACGAUCCGUAACUGGUCUGAGAGGAUGAUCAGUCACACUGGAACUGAGACACGGUCCAGACUCCUACGGGAGGCAGCAGUGGGGAAUAUUGGACAAUGGGCGAAAGCCUGAUCCAGCCAUGCCGCGUGUGUGAAGAAGGUCUUCGGAUUGUAAAGCACUUUAAGUUGGGAGGAAGGGCAUUAACCUAAUACGUUAGUGUUGUGACCUUACCGACCGACUAAGCACCGGCUAACUCUGUGCCAGC
This 494-nucleotide ribosomal RNA is filed under the name uncultured bacterium. RNAcentral describes it as "bacterial SSU rRNA". It matches the Rfam family "Bacterial small subunit ribosomal RNA", at positions 39 to 512 of the family's 1533-position model. The record is from RNAcentral.